RNAcentral lists this unclassified non-coding RNA (346 nucleotides) under uncultured fungus. Its description in RNAcentral is "partial contains small subunit ribosomal RNA, internal transcribed spacer 1, and 5.8S ribosomal RNA". The stretch from base 1 to 73 matches the Rfam family "Eukaryotic small subunit ribosomal RNA", at positions 1759 to 1831 of the family's 1831-position model. The record is from RNAcentral. Lineage: Eukaryota; Fungi.
GCAAACUUGGUCAUUUAGAGGAAGUAAAAGUCGUAACAAGGUCUCCGUUGGUGAACCAGCGGAGGGAUCAUUAGCGAGUUGAUUAUAAACUCCAAACCCAUGUGAAUAUACUUUUGUUGCCUUGGCAGGUCGUGCUGCACGGCUGGAGCGCUGCCUUGUAGCUGGGAGCCCUUACCCUGGAGUAAGCUACCCUGUACUUGGAAGCGCCUACCCUGUAGCACGCAACCAGGCCUGCCGAAGGACUGCCAAACUCUGUUUUACACCUGUAUUUCUGAGUCUAUUAUACAAAUAAGUUAAAACUUUCAACAACGGAUCUCUUGGCUCUGGCAUCGAUGAAGAACGCAGC